Molecule: ribosomal RNA, 109 nt
Filed under: Pogona vitticeps (central bearded dragon)
Lineage: Eukaryota; Metazoa; Chordata; Lepidosauria; Squamata; Agamidae
Source: RNAcentral
UCCUAUGACUCUGAAAUCAUCUGAUCAUAUUUGGUUACAGAAACUAAGCAGGGUUGGGCUGAGUUAGUACUUGGAUUGGAGACCACCUGGAACACCAGGGAUCUGGGAA